GCCUGGGUGGCUCAGUCGGUUAAGCGUCUGUCUUCGGCUCAGGUCACGAUCUCAUGGUUCGUGAGUUCGAACCCCACUUUGGGCU
RNAcentral lists this transfer RNA (85 nucleotides) under Felis catus (domestic cat). It matches the Rfam family "tRNA". Rfam says of the family: Transfer RNA (tRNA) molecules are approximately 80 nucleotides in length. Their secondary structure includes four short double-helical elements and three loops (D, anti-codon, and T loops). Further hydrogen bonds mediate the characteristic L-shaped molecular structure. tRNAs have two regions of fundamental functional importance: the anti-codon, which is responsible for specific mRNA codon recognition, and the 3' end, to which the tRNAs corresponding amino acid is attached (by aminoacyl-tRNA synthetases). tRNAs cope with the degeneracy of the genetic code in two manners: having more than one tRNA (with a specific anti-codon) for a particular amino acid; and 'wobble' base-pairing, i.e. permitting non-standard base-pairing at the 3rd anti-codon position. Lineage: Eukaryota; Metazoa; Chordata; Mammalia; Carnivora; Felidae. The record is from Rfam by way of RNAcentral.